Molecule: long non-coding RNA, 4953 nt
Filed under: Sus scrofa (pig)
Lineage: Eukaryota; Metazoa; Chordata; Mammalia; Artiodactyla; Suidae
Description: lncRNA (ENSSSCG00025020735.1)
Source: RNAcentral
UUUUUCUUUUUUCUUUUUUUUUUUAGGGCCAUGCCCAUGGCAUAUGGAGGUUCCCAGGCUAGGGGUUCAAUCAUAGCGAAGCUGCCAGCCUACACCACAGCCACAGCCAUGUGAGAUCCGAGCCACGUCUGCAAUCUACACCACAGCUCACCUCAGCACCGGAUCCCCAACCCACUGAGCAAAGCCAGGAAUUGAACCCAAAACCUCAUGGUUUCUAGUUGAAUUUGUUUCUGCUGUGCCGUGAUGGGAAAUCCUCCAUUGACAUGUGAAUUGAAGCUUUAACCUCUUACAAAAUAUCUCUUUCUAAAAGGAGUUGGACUCUCUGGAACAAUCAGAAAGGCAUGAGAGAAAAUGGAUUCCCAGUCACAACUCAAAGGUGGUGUAAAAAUUUUUGUAACUGGCUUGCCGGAAAUAUGAAUGUGGCAGGUUCAUGAGGGCAGGGCCCAGGAUUGGAGAGGAGGGCUGAAAAGGGGCUCCCGUAUUCAGGAGGAAGUCGAUAGGCUGUCUGCCUACAUUUAGAGUCACCCAGGGCUCCAGAGUGGUGAUAAGGACAGGAGCCAUGAUGGAAAUGUCCCGUCAGUCUUAAUCCUGGGCCUGAGGGGUCCACCCCAGAGACCUUCGUCUUCAGGCGCAGUCCCUCUUCCAGUGAUCUCCCCAACAUAUGGGCACAGCCGAGUCUAAGGGCAUUCCCACUUAAAGGAUCCCUCUUUUCCACAGAGGAGACAGGCUCCAGGCAUAGGUCUCUGCCCUAGUCCUUUUGCCUUGGAAGCUCCCAGGUUGACUCCCUGAAGCGCCAUAACUAGAGCCUCAGCCUUUCUCUGCCUCUCCUCUUGUUCGCCUUUCCCUCUUCCUGGCCCCGAUUAUAACAUACUUGAGUUGCUGUUCUGAGGAGGUGCUCCAGGUCCUGACCAGGGCCAAAAGCCAAUUUUUGGAGCCCUCUCCAUACAUCUGGCACCAGUUGAGCUAUGAAUUUAUCCGUAAGAAUUAUUCGGCCCUGCAUUUUUUCUGGGUUCCUUGGUGUAUGGUUUCUCAAUGCCUUUCUGAGUCUUUCUAAGAAAGCGGAUGGACUCUCUGGUUCCCCUAGUAAACCACUGAUAGUUUUUAAAGUUUUUAACCGGCUUUACUCAUGAGGCUUUUAAUCCCUCAACUAUACAAGUAAUAAAAUGACUUCUAUGCCAAUUGUGCUUAUCUCCUCCUCAUCAGCAGACCAACUGGGAUCACUCAUAGGAACUGCCUGACACCGGGUGGGGGAAUCUUGCUCUAUCUCUUCUAAUUUGCCUCUGGCAUUUAUAGCAUCAUUCCACUCAUCUUCCCCAGCUUUGAGCAGUUUUGAAGAUUUAUGUUUUUUUGUUUUUUCAUUUUUUUUUUUCACUUAUAGUCAAUGUCUGCUUUCAUAAUAACAUGACAUCCUCCCAGGCUAACUCAAAGGAGUGCAUGAGACCCUGAAAGACCUCGAUAUAUCUGGGUCAUCAGCAAAUUUUCCCAUAUCUGUUUUUAUUCGCCCUAAGUCCUGAAGUGAAAUAGGCGUAUGGACCUGUAUUUGGUCCCCAUUCUCCGUUUGCCGCUUCCUGUAAAGGGAGUCGAGAGGGAUAUAACUUUGGUACUGGAGUGGGAAGAGGAGGCGCCUUGGGCAGUGUUGGAGAAGGCCGAUUCGCUUCUGGAGGGUCUGACCCAGCUGGGCCAGGAUGUGGUGGGCGCCUAGGUCCUGAGGGGGUUGGCAUAAUGUACUGAGAAAGUCCGCAAGCCUUCCUUGGUGUAGCGUCUCCCCUCACUGUAAAGAUCUGACACGAGGCACCUCUGACCAUUCCCUGUCUCAUCUAUCAAAUAGGUCUCGCUGGAGAAGAGUAUUAUCAGCUAGAGAGCCUUCAGACGGCCAUCGCUCUCCAUCUGACAGGUUAUGUAGUGGCCAGGCUUUUGUGCAAAAGAAAAUUAAACGUUUCUUUUUCAGAGUCUCAGGGCCAAAAUUUUUGCAGUUCAUCAAGGCACACAUCAGAGGAGUUGCUAUUGAGCCGUGCACCAGGCUUGAGGAGGUGGCUCCCAUCCGAAAAAGAGAAAAGAUCAGCACCCAGUGCCUAUUGUCCCUUCGUGGUUAUGUGAGGGCGUCCCCUCUCUUGGAGGGAGCAGCUGGGCAUUAGUGGUCAAACGUCCCAUCCGACCUCAGGCUGCCUGGAAUGAACCAUCUUUCCCAGCGCAGCCGCUCUUCCCGCCGUCCCUGCCCGCUGCCUGUCUCUGGACAGAGGCGAAGAAAACCCAGGCGUACAGGCCCUGCCCUGGGUGUUCGGAUCCUAAGAGGCUCGCUCUAACAUGCCCUCUAUUAAUAUUAGGGACGUUUCUAAGCCACAUUAACAGGCAAAUUGGAUGAACCAGCCGUGGAUUUCUCCAACCAGGGUGAAAGUAAACAGCAAGAAGCAAAAUUGACAUGCCCAGGCUCUGAGGCCAAACACUUGGCUUAAGUUGGAUGAAUAUGUUAGGAACGCCUUCUCCCCCCGAGGCCUGGGACCAACUCUGGGUGGUCUUAACAUCUAGAGGUCUGGUUCCCUUGCCCCCACAGCUCUAUUUGAGGUAAUAGCAAAGGAAAUGAUGAAAGAUCAGGUUAGUUUACACCUUAAUCUUCAGAAAAUCCCUUUUUGAAAUCUUUGAUCGCACAGUCUAGCACCAUGGGUUUAGACUUGGGCGAACCCACGGCGUCUUUCUGUGGAUCUUGUCUGUGGCCUGAUGUUAUGAGACCUCUGACUUCAUGGGUGGGAUCCCCAGUAGCGUUGCCUCGGCCAUUCCUGUAAGCAAGACAGCUGCCACUCAGCUCCCUCUAUGGCCGGGGAGAGCAGCUGCUUUGCUGCACGUGUCUCUGGCCCCGGGUCUGGGGAAGGCACUCUCAGACAAGUUCUAAUGUUUGGACAAAGGACAGGGGGCCUCAUACCCAAUCCUCCCUAUACCCUGAACGGAGCAGGGCAUGACGGUCUUGUCUCCCUGACUCAGAUCCUGGGCCUCCAUGAACUGACAAAAUGGGCAGUCCUACGGCUGGUUUAGAAUCUGGGCCGGGAGUUCCUGGAGGCCCAGGGGCGAGGUCAGGUUAGACGAUCUCCCCGGAGGAAUUAAUGGCCCAAAUGGCGGGAGCAAGCGGUCUCUGGCGCGUGGGCUUCGGGGUUAGGUCCCACCCCAUGUGGCCGCCCCGUGCGGGUGUCCCGACAAAACAAGGGAGGACGCCCCCUUCUCAGAAGGUGGCCAUUCAGAUGUCCGCCUGCCCGCCCCCUCUCGGGAGUUUAGGUGCCUCUCAGCCCCUGGCUGGUUCGUAUCAGCCCGAACACGGAUUGGACUCGCAGGGCGGGAAGAGAACCGCCAGCCAGUGUCCGCUUCAGCCAGAAGCCGAAUGAGGUCACCACGGAAGUGCAGGGCAGGACCCCCUCGGACUCCGCAGCCCCUGAGACGUGGAGCCACAAGCUGGACCCUGACGUGCAAGCGAAUCAGGCCGCCCUUCGGCCUCACACACACUCCGAGGUUAUCGCGCCCCCGCUCCCCGGGAGCCCCUCGCCGGGAGCCACGCAAGCAGCGCCUUCAGUGGGCUCCACCUGCCGGGGCUCCACCCGAGCAAGCGGUUCCUCUGCUUCCCAUCCGGAGCACGGGGGCUGCUGCUCGGUCAGGCACAGCUGCCCAGGGGAGUGGCGGUGAUCGGUGCCCUCUUCCGCCCGCCCGGCAGGACCCGACGGGGGUUGGCCCGGGGCCUUACCUUGUCAGGCCGCCUUCCUGCGAGGUGGCCCGUCGCGCCACUGAGUCCGGUCGGGGUUCAGUCACCGGCGUCAGGAAUGCCGCUCACGAAGGGGGACCCCGAACACCGUCGGGCGGCGCCGGCUCACUCGGUUCGAGGCUCCCGGCCCUGGGCGGCCUUGCCUCCGCUCCGGUGGCUCCAGGGGCUGCGACGGCUGGAAUCUCGCGGGGCCUCCGGACGUGUUGGGGCAGCCGCCCAGCAGCCCCGCGCCGCAGCGGACCCCCUCCGGCGACGGCCCUGUGCCCGCAGGGGACCCCCUCUUUUCCCGCGAGGAACCACGCGAGCCCGGAGAGCUGGAGACUCGGGCUCCCCCCCGCCGGCUCCGGGAGGCGCUCUGCGGAGUCUGAGCCCAGGAGGGGCCCCCGCGGCUCUUGCGAGCUAGUGCUUCCGGGUCGCGCUAGCGGACCGGAGUGAGAAUCUUGCGGGCCAGCGCUUCCGGGUCGCGCUGGCGGACCGGAGUGAGAACGGGCAGGUUCACCAACCAGACGUGGGGGGAGGGGCAGUUGGCCGGGUUCUGCUUCGUCAUCACGGCGGGGUCUCUCCUUUCUGCCUUUUAUCAGGACAUUUUCUCCUACUCAUCCAGCAGAGCACUGAAUUAUUUUUAGCCCAACACGUUUUCCAGUGAACAUGCUAGUCAUUGUGUAGUUGCUUCCCAGCAGACUUUUUGCCAAAACCUUAAAAGUCCAUUCGUUUUUACUAAAAAGUGAUCAUGAAAUAGUCUACGUUCAGAAUCAAAUCAUUGGCACCUUAGUUGGCUCAAACACCUAAAAUUGAAGUAUUUUCCAAGUAGUGUUUUCUCAAUAUUUUUGUCUGAGUUUGAAUUAUUAAUUAAAGGGAAAAAUAUUUCCAUUAUAUUUAUAUUACUUCAAUGAUUUGGAUAUUUAUAGUAUUCCAAUAAUUAUAUUUCCAAGCCUCAACAUCCAUACUUACCUCAGGCCUAGUAAUAAGAGUGUCUCAUAGGCUGUGUCUUCUGUAAGUUAAGAGAAUUCCAAGGCCUGCUCAAGCCUUCUUAUUCUGUAUAGGUAUUAACAUACAUAUUAAUAAUAUACAGGUCAGGAAAUGGCCGUCUGUAAAUUCAGGGAUGUUUCCUUUUGGAAUUGGAUUUCACUUUCAACUGCAAAAUUAUCUAGCCUGGUAGCACAUGAAAAGAAAUAUAUUUUUCAUCUAAUAGAAAAGGGGGAAAUAUAGCC